UGCAUGUCUCAGUGCAAGCCAAAUUAAGGUGAAACCGCGAAUGGCUCAUUAAAUCAGUUAUGGUUCCUUAGAUCGUACCCACGUUACUUGGAUAACUGUGGUAAUUCUAGAGCUAAUACAUGCAAACAGAGCUCUGACCAGAAAUGGAAAGAGCGCUUUUAUUAGAUCAAAACCAAUCGGUCGGCUCGUCCGGUCCGUUUGCCUUGGUGACUCUGAAUAACUUUGGGCUGAUCGCACGGUCUUUGUACCGGCGACGCAUCUUUCAAAUGUCUGCCUUAUCAACUUACGAUGGUAGGUUCUGCGCCUACCAUGGUUGUAACGGGUAACGGGGAAUCAGGGUUCGAUUCCGGAGAGGGAGCCUGAGAAACGGCUACCACAUCCAAGGAAGGCAGCAGGCGCGCAAAUUACCCACUCCCGGCACGGGGAGGUAGUGACGAAAAAUAACGAUACGGGACUCAUCCGAGGCCCCGUAAUCGGAAUGAGUACACUUUAAAUCCUUUAACGAGUAUCC
Molecule: ribosomal RNA, 511 nt
Filed under: Dolichopoda remyi
Lineage: Eukaryota; Metazoa; Arthropoda; Insecta; Orthoptera; Rhaphidophoridae
Also listed under: 12 other names
Description: SSU rRNA
Rfam family: Eukaryotic small subunit ribosomal RNA
Source: RNAcentral